Molecule: long non-coding RNA, 836 nt
Filed under: Macaca mulatta (Rhesus monkey)
Lineage: Eukaryota; Metazoa; Chordata; Mammalia; Primates; Cercopithecidae
Description: lncRNA (ENSMMUG00000058788.1)
Source: RNAcentral
AUGCUCAGCCUCAGCCUUAUUAUUUUUCUAUCUUUUGAGACAAGGUCUCACUCUUCGCCCAGGCUGGAGCGCAGUGGUGUGAGCGGCCCACACCGAAUUCAAAGCUGGGAGGAAUGUGAGCGGUCUUGCCCUGAGUCACCUGCUGCAGCUGGAAGGAGCCAUCACUGCCCCUUCUGUCUCUGUCUUCUGAGACUUUGCAGCACGCCAGGGCAUCUGCCUGACACCCAGUUCCAGAAAGUCUGGUUUUCUUCCCAAAGCCAGAGACCGUGUGCUUCAUCUAGGAGGUGGCUAGAAUGCCUUGGGAUAGGGAUGGGUGGGUCAAGAGGCUCACAGAAGAAUGGAAGUGAGGGCAGGGUUGCCCCUGUUCACAACUUCCUGCACAACCCCGCUUUCCAUGGGCAACAGCCAGCCCGGAGAGAGCACAGCUGUCCUCUGCUUGGGGGUUUGUGACACAAGGCAACGGGAGUGGCUGAACACGUAACAACAAAGGAGACUGCAGCCAUGGAGUCAGGGUCAGGGCACCGCGGUCCUGGUUCCAACCCAUGCCACUGACAACCAGCGUGACCUUCGGCAAGUCACUGCACCUCUCUGGGCCUCAGUUUCCUUUCCUGCAAAAUGUCGAUAAUAAAAAUAUAGUACCUACCUGGAAGGUUGUUUCUGUGCAUAAAUGUUAUCAGCUGUCAGAAAUAAUAAAAUUUAUAGUGAGACCUCAUCUCUGCAAAAAUAAAGUAAAAAAUUUAGCCAGGUGUGGCGGCAUGUGCCUGUAGUCUCAGCAACUCUUGAGGCUGAGGUGGGAGGAUUGCUUGAGCCCAGGAGGUCGAGGCUGCAGUGUGCUG